GCGUACAGACGAGGAGCUUGCUCCUCUGACGUUAGCGGCGGACGGGUGAGUAACACGUGGAUAACCUACCUAUAAGACUGGGAUAACUUCGGGAAACCGGAGCUAAUACCGGAUAAUAUAUUGAACCGCAUGGUUCAAUAGUGAAAGACGGUUUUGCUGUCACUUAUAGAUGGAUCCGCGUCGCAUUAGCUAGUUGGUAAGGUAACGGCUUACCGAGGCAACGAUGCGUAGCCGACCUGAGAGGGUGAUCGGCCACACUGGAACUGAGACACGGUCCAGACUCCUACGGGAGGCAGCAGUAGGGAAUCUUCCGCAAUGGGCGAAAGCCUGACGGAGCAACGCCGCGUGAGUGAUGAAGGUCUUCGGAUCGUAAAACUCUGUUAUUAGGGAAGAACAAAUGUGUAAGUAACUAUGCACGUCUUGACGGUACCUAAUCAGAAAGCCACGGCUAACUACGUGCCAGCAGCCGCGGUAAUACGUAGGUGGCAAGCGUUAUCCGGAAUUAUUGGGCGUAAAGCGCGCGUAGGCGGUUUUUUAAGUCUGAUGUGAAAGCCCACGGCUCAACCGUGGAGGGUCAUUGGAAACUGAAAAACUUGAGUGCAGAAGAGGAAAGUGGAAUUCCAUGUGUAGUGGUGAAAUGCGCAGAGAUAUGGAGGAACACCAGUGGCGAAGGCGACUUUCUGGUCUGUAACUGACGCUGAUGUGCGAAAGCG
This 713-nucleotide ribosomal RNA is filed under the name uncultured Staphylococcus sp. RNAcentral describes it as "bacterial SSU rRNA". It matches the Rfam family "Bacterial small subunit ribosomal RNA", at positions 66 to 761 of the family's 1533-position model. Lineage: Bacteria; Bacillati; Bacillota; Bacilli; Caryophanales; Staphylococcaceae. The record is from RNAcentral.